Long non-coding RNA from Gymnodraco acuticeps, 784 nucleotides. RefSeq lists it as uncharacterized. The transcript is spliced from 2 exons. Lineage: Eukaryota; Metazoa; Chordata; Actinopteri; Perciformes; Bathydraconidae. The record is from RefSeq and is a predicted model, not a curated record.
UGAUACAUAAACAAACCUUUAUUUUGAAAAUACACGACAGGAAGUAGUAUCCUUAAAACCCGGAACCGCUUUGCAGGGCUGACCUUACUUCAACCAGCAUGAGCAGGACCUGAGACACUUGGGUUGUAAUUUUGCACAUUGCAGACAACAUUGUUUAAACACAUGCGAAGACAUUUUCAGGAACGGAAUCGUGUGUUAUUUUUUCCUCGUUUGUCUGACGUCUCCCUACGUUUUUGUUUACAAAGGGGCGUAUUCGCUUUAGCACACACCCUGUAGUACAAUGUCAAUAGCACCGGAGGCACCAGCAGGAGUAACAUCAGCUGGAGGAGCCGGCGAGAGGUUCCAGAGCUGCUGGAGCUGUCGGCUCCUCUCCGGCGGAGGGCUGUUCCUGUCGGCCGCUUAUGUGUUCAGUGGGACCCGGAGGUUGCCAAGAGGUGGAGUUGCCUCUAUUGGGAUGAUAACAUUCGCUGCAUGUCUGGCUUCAUUGGGAUUUGUUAUCAUCGCUGAUCCGGUACCAAAGAAGGACCUGAAGUCUGAUUAGAAACAGGAUGGAUAACUGGCUCAAACAUGGACUGCACGUUUGGUGGCAAAUAUUCAUGGGCAAUAUGAAACAAGCUGAAGAAGCGGCUCUUUGGUCUGUAGUAAAGUUGUGUAUAGGGAUGUUGUGUAUUAUUACAGAAACAAGCUUUUCAUUGUGUGGAUAGAUCAAGAAUCAAUAUUGGAAGCUUUUCAUUGAAUAAAAGAUGUAACAUAUUGUAUUUAAAUUAAAAAAGAAAAUGUGAUA